GGGAGGCAGCAGUAGGGAAUAUUGGACAAUGGGCGAAAGCCUGAUCCAGCCAUGCCGCGUGUGUGAAGAAGGCCUUCGGGUUGUAAAGCACUUUCAGCGAGGAAGAACGCCUUGGGAUUAAUACUCUCGAGGAAAGACAUCACUCGCAGAAGAAGCACCGGCUAACUCCGUGCCAGCAGCCGCGGUAAUACGGAGGGUGCAAGCGCUAAUCGGAAUUACUGGGCGUAAAGCGCGUGUAGGUGGCUAAGUCAGCCAGGUGUGAAAGCCCCGGGCUCAACCUGGGAACGGCAUCUGGAACUGCUUGGCUAGAGUGCAGGAGAGGAAGGUAGAAUUCCCGGUGUAGCGGUGAAAUGCGUAGAGAUCGGGAGGAAUACCAGUGGCGAAGGCGGCCUUCUGGACUGACACUGACACUGAGGUGCGAAAGCGUGGGGA
This 432-nucleotide ribosomal RNA is filed under the name uncultured Cobetia sp. Its description in RNAcentral is "bacterial SSU rRNA". It matches the Rfam family "Bacterial small subunit ribosomal RNA", at positions 343 to 767 of the family's 1533-position model. The record is from RNAcentral. Lineage: Bacteria; Pseudomonadati; Pseudomonadota; Gammaproteobacteria; Oceanospirillales; Halomonadaceae.